RNAcentral lists this ribosomal RNA (740 nucleotides) under uncultured Gammaproteobacteria bacterium. RNAcentral describes it as "bacterial SSU rRNA". It matches the Rfam family "Bacterial small subunit ribosomal RNA", at positions 138 to 873 of the family's 1533-position model. Lineage: Bacteria; Pseudomonadati; Pseudomonadota; Gammaproteobacteria. The record is from RNAcentral.
GGGGGAUAACGUUUCGAAAGGAACGCUAAUACCGCAUACGUCCUACGGGAGAAAGGGGGGGAUCUUCGGACCUCUCGCUAUUGGAUGAGCCCAAGUCGGAUUAGCUAGUUGGUGAGGUAAAGGCUCACCAAGGCGACGAUCCGUAGCUGGUCUGAGAGGAUGAUCAGCCACACUGGAACUGAGACACGGUCCAGACUCCUACGGGAGGCAGCAGUGGGGAAUAUUGGACAAUGGGCGAAAGCCUGAUCCAGCCAUGCCGCGUGUGUGAAGAAGGCCUUCGGGUUGUAAAGCACUUUAAGCGAGGAGGAAUGGCUCUUGGUUAAUAACCUUGAGCAGUGACGUUACUCGCAGAAUAAGCACCGGCUAACUCUGUGCCAGCAGCCGCGGUAAUACAGAGGGUGCAAGCGUUAAUCGGAAUUACUGGGCGUAAAGCGCGCGUAGGCGGUUGUAUAAGUUGGGUGUGAAAUCCCCGGGCUCAACCUGGGAAUUGCACUCAAAACUGUACGGCUAGAGUGUGGGAGAGGAAGGUAGAAUUCCAGGUGUAGCGGUGAAAUGCGUAGAUAUCUGGAGGAAUACCGAUGGCGAAGGCAGCCUUCUGGCCUAACACUGACGCUGAGGUGCGAAAGCAUGGGGAGCAAACAGGAUUAGAUACCCUGGUAGUCCAUGCCGUAAACGAUGUCUACUAGCCGUUGGGGGACUUGAUCCUUUAGUGGCGCAGCUAACGCAUUAAGUAGACCGCC